AUUCCAGCUCCAAUAGCGUAUAUUAAAGUCGUUGCAGUUAAAAAGCUCGUAGUUGGAUUUCUGGUGAGUUCGUUUGGCCGGCCGUAAAGGUCUGUGCCGAAAUGUUAUUCGCCAUCCUUGGUGUAAUCUUGUCCGCCAUUAAGUUGUGUGGGCUUGAGGAUGCCAUCGUUUACUGUGAAAAAAUUAGAGUGUUCAAAGCAGGCUUAUGCCGUUGAAUACAUUAGCAUGGAAUAAUAAGAUAGGACCCUGGUACUAUUUUGUUGGUUUGCGUACCUAGGUAAUGAUUAAUAGGGACAGUUGGGGGUAUUUGUAUUCCGUUGUCAGAGGUGAAAUUCUUGGAUUUACGGAAGACAAACUACUGCGAAAGCAUUUACCAAGGAUGUUUUCAUUG
This 391-nucleotide ribosomal RNA is filed under the name Triparma sp. RNAcentral's name for it is "partial small subunit ribosomal RNA". It matches the Rfam family "Eukaryotic small subunit ribosomal RNA", at positions 582 to 975 of the family's 1831-position model. Lineage: Eukaryota; Bolidophyceae; Parmales; Triparmaceae. The record is from RNAcentral.